Molecule: ribosomal RNA, 143 nt
Filed under: Salmonella enterica
Lineage: Bacteria; Pseudomonadati; Pseudomonadota; Gammaproteobacteria; Enterobacterales; Enterobacteriaceae
Description: partial 16S ribosomal RNA
Rfam family: Bacterial small subunit ribosomal RNA
Source: RNAcentral
UUUAAUUGAAGAGUUUGAUCAUGGCUCAGAUUGAACGCUGGCGGCAGGCCUAACACAUGCAAGUCGAACGGUAACAGGAAGCAGCUUGCUGCUUUGCUGACGAGUGGCGGACGGGUGAGUAAUGUCUGGGAAACUGCCUGAUG